RNAcentral lists this ribosomal RNA (467 nucleotides) under uncultured bacterium. RNAcentral describes it as "partial 16S ribosomal RNA". It matches the Rfam family "Bacterial small subunit ribosomal RNA", at positions 28 to 507 of the family's 1533-position model. The record is from RNAcentral.
GACGAACGCUGGCGGCGUGCUUAACACAUGCAAGUCGAACGGAAGGCCCGGCUUUUGUGGGGUGCUCGAGUGGCGAACGGGUGAGUAACACGUGAGUCACCUGCCCUUGACUUUGGGAUAACUUCAGGAAACUGGGGCUAAUACCGGAUAGGAGCUCCUGCUGCAUGGUGGGGGUUGGAAAGUUUCGGCGGUUGGGGAUGGACUCGCGGCUUAUCAGCUUGUUGGUGGGGUAGUGGCUUACCAAGGCUUUGACGGGUAGCCGGCCUGAGAGGGUGACCGGCCACAUUGGGACUGAGAUACGGCCCAGACUCCUACGGGAGGCAGCAGUGGGGAAUAUUGCACAAUGGGCGGAAGCCUGAUGCAGCAACGCCGCGUGCGGGAUGACGGCCUUCGGGUUAUAAACCGCUUUCGCCUGUGACGAAGCGUGAGUGACGGUAAUGGGUAAAGAAGCACCGGCUAACUACGUG